This 387-nucleotide long non-coding RNA is filed under the name Malus domestica (apple). Its description in RNAcentral is "long non-coding RNA (MDOM_LNC014460)". The record is from RNAcentral. Lineage: Eukaryota; Viridiplantae; Streptophyta; Magnoliopsida; Rosales; Rosaceae.
UUGCUAUUAAUCAAACUUAAUUAGCACUAAUCCACAAGAAAUCAACAGAUUAGGGUUUUUAAUUUAUUAAAUUUCAUAAAUAAACCUGUUGCUCCUCAUUGUACUUUUAUCCUCCGGGGCUGCCUCUCCUUCUCAGUAGCUAAUCUGUACAUCCAAUACACCUAUCACGAUGAAAGAUCAGAUUUUAGACAGUAAUUAAAGCGAAAAAUCAAGAACAUGAAGGAAAUUAGAGAGUACCAGAGCGAGGACGUGAGCUACUAUUAGGAGAACCACCACGAACGGCACCGAUUCGAGGAACCAUGGCCGCAGAGACGCCGGCUGCGGAUUCGCCAUUCGAUGGAAACAGGGAGGUUUUAGAGAGAGAUAGAUGGGAGAAAGAGAUGGAGA